AUCUGAGACUCAGUUUUUCUGAGUGGCUUCUGAUUGAUUUUCUGGUUGGCUUGAACAUUUUUUUCUGCUUUACUGUCUUCUACAACUUUUAAGGAUGAGAAAUACAGCUGAAGACAAGAUCAUGUAAUUGUACAAAGAAAAUCAUCCAUUUUUUUUUUAAUGGAGUGAAAGAUUUGUGGGCAAGGAGCAGUAAAAAUGUCCCAAAAGACAACAUAAAAAAAGAAAAAGUCAGGGUUGGGAGAAAGAAGAGUUAAAAAUAAAGACUUACUAAAUUACAAAAGAACAGUUGUUCGAGUGAAGACAAUUAGCCAUAGGACAAGCCAGCUUAUGAUAAGUACUGCAAUAAAAGAACAUGAAAAUUUUGUAUUUUAUUACAAGAAAAAAAGAGUCAAAGUGGAUGCGGCAGAGUGGAGGUCAUUAAGUCUACCAACAAGCAGAUGCCAACAUGGAAUUGAACUGAAAAAAAUUGAAUGAAACACCUGUAAGGGGAAAAUUGGAGGGAGCUGGAGGAAGCUGGGAAGGUUAUCAGACUGAUGCAGAUCUGACUUCUGUGAAGGUAUGUAUGCUGCUAUGGUCCAUGAAUGUUGGGCUUGCCAUAUAGCUUGCUUCAGCUAACUGAAUGCUAUCAGGAACUAUAGAAUAUCAGCACUGAAGGAAGCUUUCAUCUGAGAAGGAAAAUGAGGCUGAAGAGAUUUUCCUGAUGUCAGUGAGAAGAAUCUUUCUCCCAACUCUGUCCCUCAGUGAUCAAGUUUCCUUCCCCACUGGAAAUCAACACAAUUAGUUCCUAAGGUAUCCUUCAUGACAUAUAUCAGGAAGUCCAUGUUCCAGAAGCCAAUCUAGUGC
Molecule: long non-coding RNA, 843 nt
Organism: Heterocephalus glaber (naked mole-rat)
Lineage: Eukaryota; Metazoa; Chordata; Mammalia; Rodentia; Bathyergidae
Source: Ensembl